AGAAGAGUAGCUCAACCGGUAGAGCGUAGGAUUCCAAAUCCUAAGGUUGCAAGUUCAAGUCUUGUUUCUUCUG
Molecule: transfer RNA, 73 nt
Filed under: Limnomonas spitsbergensis
Lineage: Eukaryota; Viridiplantae; Chlorophyta; Chlorophyceae; Chlamydomonadales
Description: tRNA-Trp
Rfam family: tRNA
About the family: Transfer RNA (tRNA) molecules are approximately 80 nucleotides in length.
Source: RNAcentral